UAAGUAAGUGGUGGAAAUUAAACCAAAUGGGAUAUCUUUAGUAAUUGCGAAUGAACAAGGAUAUGCUUAGCUUGACAAAUGGAGCUAUUGGCUUUGAAUUGUAUUGUGGAAAUGUAUUACCAACAGAGGUGCAGGUGCCAGCCUAUUGAAAUAAAGCGUCAAUGAGGGUGAGAAUCCUGUUUGUCAUGUGCAGCCCUUUGUGCACGGUGUAUAUUUGCUGAGUCACACUCCUUGGCAUUGGAAUGCAAAGUGGGUGGUAAGUUUCAUGUAAAGGUAAACAUGCAAUUGAGACUGAUAGCACACAAGUACCAUGCGGGAAAUAUGAAAAGGACUUUGAAAAGAGAAUUAAAUGAGUUUGUAUUUGCUGAACACAAAGUAAACAGACUUGAUUUGCUUGGUGGGAGUGUUGCACUUGCUUGACAAGAGCUUUGGGCUGUGGGUGUAAUGAUUCUUUCUUUGCAUGCCAGUUUCUAUUUGUACAUCUGAUUACCUUUGCACAUGAAUGAUAAGUCUCCUGUGGGGGGUGGAUUGCAUGUGCAUGUAAUGAUUUGUGUUUUGAUAAAUGUGUCUGGUGUAUGUGUGUGUUCCUGUGCUUGGGGAUGCUUCCUUCCUUGGACUUACAAGCCCUGACACACACAUGCUGGCAAAAUGCUUCUGCUUGACCCG
RNAcentral lists this ribosomal RNA (666 nucleotides) under Alexandrium tamarense. RNAcentral describes it as "eukaryotic LSU rRNA". It matches the Rfam family "Eukaryotic large subunit ribosomal RNA", at positions 43 to 651 of the family's 3401-position model. The record is from RNAcentral. Lineage: Eukaryota; Dinophyceae; Gonyaulacales; Pyrocystaceae.